GCCUUAAGCAUGCAAGUCGAACGAGAAUCUCACUUCGGUGAGAGGACAGUGGCAAACGGGUGAGUAACACGUAGGAAUCUACCGAGUAGUGGGGAAUAGCCAUCCGAAAGGAUGGUUAAUACCGCACACGCCCUUCGGGGGAAAGUAUUAUACGCUAUUUGAGGAGCCUGCGACCUAUCAGGUAGUCGGUGGGGUAAUGGCCUACCGAGCCUAUGACGGGUAGCCGAUGUGAGAGCAUGAUCGGCCACAAGGUUACUGAGACACGGAGCCUACACCUACGGGUGGCAGCAACUGGGAAUCUUGCGCAAUGGACGAAAGUCUGACGCAGCGACACCGCGUGUGGGAAGACGCUUUUCGGAGUGUAAACCACUGUGGCGAGGGAACAAGUUCUGAGUGUACCUCGCUAGAAAGCACCUGCUAACCACGUGCCAGAAGCCUCGGUAAUACGUGGGGUGCAAGCGUUAUCCGGAUUUACUGGGCGUAAAGGGUCCGUCGGCGUCCUUACAAGUUCGUCGUCUAAGCCCCGGGCUUAACUCGGGAUCGGCGAUGAAAACUGUUUGGAUAGAGUAUGUUAGGGGAAGCUAGAAUUCUCGGUGGAGGGGUGAAAUCCGUAGAUAUCGGGAGGAACGCCGCUCGCGAAGGCAGGCUUCUAGAACAUUACUGACGCUCAGGGACGAAAGUUAGGGUAGCAAAAGGGAUUAGAGGCCCCUGUAGUCCUAACCGUAAACGCUGUUCGCUAGUUCCCUG
RNAcentral lists this ribosomal RNA (747 nucleotides) under uncultured organism. RNAcentral's name for it is "bacterial SSU rRNA". It matches the Rfam family "Bacterial small subunit ribosomal RNA", at positions 46 to 826 of the family's 1533-position model. The record is from RNAcentral.